UUUAUGGAGAGUUUGAUCCUGGCUCAGGAUGAACGCUGGCGGCGUGCCUAAUACAUGCAAGUCGAGCGAACGGACGAGAAGCUUGCUUCUCUGAUGUUAGCGGCGGACGGGUGAGUAACACGUGGAUAACCUACCUAUAAGACUGGGAUAACUUCGGGAAACCGGAGCUAAUACCGGAUAAUAUUUUGAACCGCAUGGUUCAAAAGUGAAAGACGGUCUUGCUGUCACUUAUAGAUGGAUCCGCGCUGCAUUAGCUAGUUGGUAAGGUAACGGCUUACCAAGGCAACGAUGCAUAGCCGACCUGAGAGGGUGAUCGGCCACACUGGAACUGAGACACGGUCCAGACUCCUACGGGAGGCAGCAGUAGGGAAUCUUCCGCAAUGGGCGAAAGCCUGACGGAGCAACGCCGCGUGAGUGAUGAAGGUCUUCGGAUCGUAAAACUCUGUUAUUAGGGAAGAACAUAUGUGUAAGUAACUGUGCACAUCUUGACGGUACCUAAUCAGAAAGCCACGGCUAACUACGUGCCAGCAGCCGCGGUAAUACGUAGGUGGCAAGCGUUAUCCGGAAUUAUUGGGCGUAAAGCGCGCGUAGGCGGUUUUUUAAGUCUGAUGUGAAAGCCCACGGCUCAACCGUGGAGGGUCAUUGGAAACUGGAAAACUUGAGUGCAGAAGAGGAAAGUGGAAUUCCAUGUGUAGCGGUGAAAUGCGCAGAGAUAUGGAGGAACACCAGUGGCGAAGGCGACUUUCUGGUCUGUAACUGACGCUGAUGUGCGAAAGCGUGGGGAUCAAACAGGAUUAGAUACCCUGGUAGUCCACGCCGUAAACGAUGAGUGCUAAGUGUUAGGGGGUUUCCGCCCCUUAGUGCUGCAGCUAACGCAUUAAGCACUCCGCCUGGGGGAGUACGACCGCAAGGUUGAAACUCAAAGGAAUUGACGGGGGACCCGCACAAGCGGUGGAGCAUGUGGUUUAAUUCGAAGCAACGCGAAGAACCUUACCAAAUCUUGACAUCCUUUGACAACUCUAGAGAUAGAGCCUUCCCCUUCGGGGGACAAAGUGACAGGUGGUGCAUGGUUGUCGUCAGCUCGUGUCGUGAGAUGUUGGGUUAAGUCCCGCAACGAGCGCAACCCUUAAGCUUAGUUGCCAUCAUUAAGUUGGGCACUCUAAGUUGACUGCCGGUGACAAACCGGAGGAAGGUGGGGAUGACGUCAAAUCAUCAUGCCCCUUAUGAUUUGGGCUACACACGUGCUACAAUGGACAAUACAAAGGGCAGCGAAACCGCGAGGUCAAGCAAAUCCCAUAAAGUUGUUCUCAGUUCGGAUUGUAGUCUGCAACUCGACUACAUGAAGCUGGAAUCGCUAGUAAUCGUAGAUCAGCAUGCUACGGUGAAUACGUUCCCGGGUCUUGUACACACCGCCCGUCACACCACGAGAGUUUGUAACACCCGAAGCCGGUGGAGUAACCUUUUAGGAGCUAGCCGUCGAAGGUGGGACAAAUGAUUGGGGUGAAGUCGUAACAAGGUAGCCGUAUCGGAAGGUGCGGCUGGAUCACCUCCUUUCU
Molecule: ribosomal RNA, 1556 nt
Filed under: Staphylococcus aureus
Lineage: Bacteria; Bacillati; Bacillota; Bacilli; Caryophanales; Staphylococcaceae
Description: 16S ribosomal RNA
Rfam family: Bacterial small subunit ribosomal RNA
Source: RNAcentral